UUACGACCAUAUUAAGUUUAAACACAGGUUCUCCUCCGAUCACCAAAGUUAAACCACGUUGAGCUUGGUCAGUAACUAGAUGGGUGUCUUCUUGUAAAUCCCAUGUGCUGUAA
This is a non-coding RNA of Acanthosepion pharaonis, 113 nucleotides long. Lineage: Eukaryota; Metazoa; Mollusca; Cephalopoda; Sepiida; Sepiidae. The record is from the annotation of a GenBank genome assembly.